AACAAACGCUGGCGGCGUGUCUUAAGCAUGCAAGUUGAGCGGCAAGGAGGAGAGAUCCUCCCUAGAGCAGCGGACUGGUGAGUAACGCGUGGGUAAUCUAUCUUAGGCAUGGGGAUAGUCACUAGAAAUAGUGGGUAAUACCGAAUAAGUUCCAUAAGGGGAGGACUUAUGGAAGAAAGGUGCUACGGCACUGGCCUUAGGUGAGCUCGCGUCCCAUUAGCUAGUUGGUGAGGUAAAGGCCCACCAAGGCGAUGAUGGGUAGCCGGCCUGAGAGGGUGUACGGCCACACUGGGACUGAGAUACGGCCCAGACUCCUACGGGAGGCAGCAGCUAAGAAUAUUCCGCAAUGGACGAAAGUCUGACGGAGCGACGCCGCGUGGAUGAAGAAGGCCGAAAGGUUGUAAAGUUCUUUUGCUAGGGGAGAAUAAGUGAGGGAGGGAAUGCCCUAUGAUGACAAGGACUAGCGAAUAAGCCCCGGCAACUACGUGCCAGCAGCCG
This 498-nucleotide ribosomal RNA is filed under the name uncultured bacterium. RNAcentral's name for it is "bacterial SSU rRNA". It matches the Rfam family "Bacterial small subunit ribosomal RNA", at positions 29 to 517 of the family's 1533-position model. The record is from RNAcentral.